This 298-nucleotide long non-coding RNA is filed under the name Lathyrus oleraceus (garden pea). Its description in RNAcentral is "Pisum sativum (pea) long non-coding RNA (PSAT_LNC021692)". The record is from RNAcentral. Lineage: Eukaryota; Viridiplantae; Streptophyta; Magnoliopsida; Fabales; Fabaceae.
UGAAAGAGGAAAUUAUUUGAAAUUUUUGGUGAAACUGACAUAUUUUUUCGAUCAAUAUUAAAAUUAAUAGGAAUUAAAGAAAAUAAAAGGAAUAAAAAAAAAUCAAAAAAAAUCAAAAAAAACGUGGACCACUUGAUCUGCCUCAUUAAUUGAGGUGGCAGAUCAAGUAGAUCAGUGCGCACGUUCCACCAUGAACUUGAGUCAAUGCGCCACAGGGAUGGUAAUCAAAACCAAGGCAUGAGAUUAAAACAAUUUGAAUUGAUCAUGUGGCUUCGAACCUGUCCACCACACCACCGAU